Molecule: ribosomal RNA, 253 nt
Filed under: uncultured bacterium
Lineage: Bacteria
Description: partial 16S ribosomal RNA
Rfam family: Bacterial small subunit ribosomal RNA
Source: RNAcentral
UACGAAGGGGGCUAGCGUUGCUCGGAAUUACUGGGCGUAAAGGGCGCGUAGGCGGACAGUUUAGUCAGAGGUGAAAGCCCAGGGCUCAACCUUGGAAUUGCCUUUGAUACUGGCUGUCUUGAGUUCGGGAGAGGUGAGUGGAAUGCCGAGUGUAGAGGUGAAAUUCGUAGAUAUUCGGCGGAACACCAGUGGCGAAGGCGACUCACUGGCCCGAUACUGACGCUGAGGCGCGGAAGCGUGGGGAGCAAACAGG